GUAAAUCAGUGUAACUUGCAGGAGAGCAUGCCACCACACCCCGAUGGCCAGCCCGUCCUCUGUCCCAAUCAAUGCAGUGCCCACCGCUCCCCUCUUCUCACUCCCCAAGAGAUCCUGAAAGAGGAUUUGUCCAGGAACGCCACAGCCCCGCAGCGUGCUGACUUCAUAAAGAGACGAGGAAUCAUCUGGGCCAAGGUACCACCUUUCUGCACACGCCGUUUAUGUAACCCAGCAGGCUAGACCGCCGGGAUAUUUUAUGAAGACUUCAUGGACCCAGGCCCAGGUGGGCUGGCUGCCCAGGGAAAAAGGCACUGGGAGGUCAAGACCGAGUGACCUCAGAUAAUCUGCGCGCAUCCUUGGGCAGGGGACGAACGAGAACUGGGGGGAGUCAAGAAUAGAGCGGCCCAGUGUUUCGUCGGUUCGAAUCCUGGGCGCGGACAUGGCACUGCUCGUCAGACCACGCUGAGGCAGCGUCCCACAUGCCACAACUAGAGGAACCCACAACGAAGAAUACACAACUAUGUACCGGGGGGCUUUGGGGAGAAAAAGGAAAAAAUAAAAUCUUUAAAAAAAAUAAAAAAUAAAAAAAAUAAAAAAUAAAAAAAAUCAAUGUGGGGGGACUUGAUCAGCUCUCUAGCCCUCUAGAAGGCUGCAAAAGAUUUGGGAGAUUCGCUGAGAGAUUUCCAACUUCCCUGGCCCCGUGAAGGGGUAGCAAGCUCUCCACCAGUACAGACUCAGGCGUUGGAGAAAGACAGGAGCCUAGUGUGGGAAAAACAGGAUAUUGGGGGUAACAGGUGACCCCUCCCAGCAGCUUCCAUGGCCAAGAGCAGCCCACACUCCUGGCACGAAGACCCUCCAG
RNAcentral lists this long non-coding RNA (859 nucleotides) under Equus caballus (horse). Its description in RNAcentral is "lncRNA (ENSECAG00000057539.1)". The record is from RNAcentral. Lineage: Eukaryota; Metazoa; Chordata; Mammalia; Perissodactyla; Equidae.